Molecule: ribosomal RNA, 432 nt
Filed under: uncultured bacterium
Lineage: Bacteria
Description: partial 16S ribosomal RNA
Rfam family: Bacterial small subunit ribosomal RNA
Source: RNAcentral
AACGAACGCUGGCGGCAUGCCUAACACAUGCAAGUCGAACGAGACCUUCGGGUCUAGUGGCGCACGGGUGCGUAACGCGUGGGAACCUGCCCUUAGGUUCGGAAUAACUCCCCGAAAGGGGUGCUAAUACCGGAUAAUGUCUUCGGACCAAAGAUUUAUCGCCUUUGGAUGGGCCCGCGUUGGAUUAGCUAGUUGGUAGGGUAAAAGCCUACCAAGGCGACGAUCCAUAGCUGGUCUGAGAGGAUGAUCAGCCACACUGGGACUGAGACACGGCCCAGACUCCUCGGGGGGGCAGGAGUGGGGAAUUUGGGAAAAGGGGCGAAACCCGGACCCAGAAAGGCCGGGGGAGGGAGGAAGGCCUUAGGGUUGUAAAGCUCUUUUACCCGGGAUGAAAAUGCCAGUACCGGGAGAAAAAGCCCCGGUUAACUCCGU